This is a long non-coding RNA of Elaeis guineensis (African oil palm), 402 nucleotides long. RefSeq lists it as uncharacterized. NCBI's taxonomy places the organism in Eukaryota, Viridiplantae, Streptophyta, Magnoliopsida, Arecales, Arecaceae. The record is from RefSeq and is a predicted model, not a curated record.
GCCUCUCUCUCUAUAUUCUCUCCCGCCUCCCAACCCGUUAAGAAUCUCGAAUUCUUCGCCUUUCUCUCGGACAGGGAUUGGGAUUUUUGGGUGAGGAAUUCAUGGAGAGUUUGGUGCGCGGCGGCUUGCGCCAAGAGUACCACAAGUGAGAUGUUUAUCGGUUCGGAUUGGGCAAUCAACGUUGAAUUGUGCGACAUUAUCAAUAUGGCGCCUUGACUGGCAAAGGAUGCCCUCAUGAUACUUAAGAAGCGCCUAGGAAGCAAGACCCCCAAAAUAAAACUUCGGACACGUUUUGUGAGCGCAUGAAACUUUUUUCUCCCGCAAUUAAGAAAUUUUUAUUUUUGCAAUUUGAUUUUGUAAGAUUCUUAUAAUUUUAUAAUUGCUCGUCAUAGUUUCCUAUUA